RNAcentral lists this long non-coding RNA (205 nucleotides) under Nicotiana benthamiana. RNAcentral's name for it is "long non-coding RNA (NBEN_LNC015894)". The record is from RNAcentral. Lineage: Eukaryota; Viridiplantae; Streptophyta; Magnoliopsida; Solanales; Solanaceae.
GGAUGGAUACAAAUUUCUUGCUUAUCGUGUAUGAUGGCAAAUGGACAGCAGAUUAUAAGUACUUGGAUCAUAAAACGAAGCUCCUACUGAUAAAUGAUGGGACUUCAUUUGAAGAAUUUUUUUGAAGUUAUAGAGAUUGAGAACAAAAAGUUUCAAGCAAAUGUGUGGCUUAAUAUCAAUCUAGGUACUGCUAAAGGGAUAGAAG